CGGCCGGCCACAGGACCAGCCUCCGACAGCGAUUUCAUCCGCACCCUGCGGGGCAACGUGGGGCCUAUCCGUAGAUUUCAGCCUUUCCUGGACCCUACCAGGACAAGAAUCGCGGGGAGAGGUGCGAAGAAGGUCUGGAGAGGAGGAGGCUUGGGACAAUGCAGAGUCCUGGAAGUGAGGGUGACCGCUGACCGCUGUCAGGAGGGACAUGGACCGCUGCCGGGGAAUCAUGGGAUUUCCCACCGGCCCAGUCAUCUCCCACGUCGGGAAAAGGGAAGAGCUGCUUCCCCAUGGCGUGUGCGCGUGGGAAGGGUCUCGGGCAGAGAAGAGGCACUUUUUCUGUCCUCCAGGCUGUUUCCGCCAAAUGAAGACCUGGGCUGGAAGAGCCAGGAGCAAAGAGGAGAGUCGGGCGCUGAGCACCCAGCGGGAGAGGAUGCAGCCCGGUCAUCGCACACCUGCUGAGCACACAACAUCGUCUGCGAGUUCCCCCCACAUACUCCGCCUGCAGCUGCCAUUUGGGAAGAUGACUCUUGCCUCUUUCACUGUCUGUUUUUUAGAUUAGGACUCACGGGCCUAGAGCAGGACUCAGCUCUUCCAGAUCUUUUUCGAAAAGUAACAUCACACUUGUGCCCAGGGGUUCGAGACCAGCCUGGGCAACAGGACAAACCCCCUUCUCUACCAAAAAAACCCACAAAAUCUGUGUGGAAGGUGUGUGAACCCUUGGGAAACAGAGUUGCUGUACACGUGUAUCAGGCCCUGAGCCAGCUGAAGGGUGGGCAUUACUGCCUGGUGCCCUCCGCCCUCACUCUGCCUCCCUGGAUGUUGGGGAUGGCCCCGUAAACCUUGUUCAUAGGGGUCCCUCGUUUUCUGGGACACCUCAUCUGAGCACUGACGAGGGGACACAACUCUUGGCUGGGAAGAAAGAGACUGAGCAUUGCCUUCAAGCCAUCUCCACACAUGUGACCUCAGUCAGCAUUCUGCCCUUUCGUGGGUGUCAGUUGUCUCGUCCAUAAAAUGGGAUGAUGUUCUUGUUCCAGCCGGCAUACCGGAUGACUAAAUGAGGGAACAGGGAUGAGGUCUUACUAUGUUGCCCAGUCUGGUCUUGAACUUCUGGACUCAAUUGAUCCUCCUGCCUCAGCCUUCCAAAGUGUUGGGAUGACAGGCCAUGGUUUUGCGGGAGGAGGAGCUACGUCAGUCUGCCUUGGAGCUCAGCACCGUUUGGCCCAUGGUAGAUGCCUCACAGAAAACACAAGCGGCGUUGAGGGCUCCUGUGGGUGAAGGCUAAGGUGACAUUCAUUGCCCGGGGAAGUAAGCGUAGGGUUGAAUCGAAGCAAGUCAUCCAGGACGGAUGAGACAGGACGGGAUGGAGAGAUACAGCUACUGAACAGCAGGACUCAAGGAAGAGAGAAGGUGAGAAGCAAAAAGCUCUGUCCCUCACCCCAGUGGACACUCAGAGGGCUGUGUGGGAGACACCCCAGCCACAUUUGCAGCUAAAUUUCACCACACAAGAUGGAGUUUCACUCUUGUUGCCCAGGCUGGAGUACAAUGGCAUGAUCUUGGCUCACUGCAACCUCCUCCCGGAUUCAAGCAAUUCUCCUGACUCAGCGUCCUGAGUAGCUGGAUUACAGGCAUGUGCCACCACGCGCGGCUAAUUUUGUAUUUUUAGUAGAGAUGGGGUUUCUCCAUGUUGGUCAGGCUGGUCUUGAACUCCCAACCUCAGGUGAUCUGCCCGGCUCAGCCUCCCAGAGUAUUGGGAUUACAGGUGUGAGCCACCGCACCAGGCCACAGUAUGCGUAUGUUUAACUUUUUAAGAAAUUGUCCAAAUGUUUUCCUAAGUGUUUGGUGGUUGUACCAUUUAAGUUCUCAUCAGCUGUGUAUGAAAAUUCCAGUUCCUCCACAUCCCUGCCAACACUUGGUAUAGUCAGUCUUUUUUAUUUUAGCUAUUCUAAUAGUUAGUGGAAUGAGAGAUCUUGUAUCCAUUUUUUUAGGCUGCUUUCUUCUUAUUAAGUUAAAAAAAAUUUUUAGAGACAGGGUCUCUUUCUGUCACCUAUGCUGGAAUGCAGUGGCAAGAUCAUGGCCCACUGCAGUCUCAAACUCCUGGGCUGAAGCGAUCCCCCUGCCUUAGCCUUCCUAGUAGCUAGGGCUACCAGCAUGCACCACCACACUCAGCUAAUUUUUUAAAAAUGUUUGUAGAGAAGGGGUCUUGGUAUGUUGCCCAAGUUGGUCUUGACCUCCUGGAUUUAAGUGAUCCUCCCAUCUCAGCCUCCCAAUUAGGUGGGACUACAGGUGCAUACCACUAUGCCCAGCUAAUUUUUAAUUUACUUUUUAAUUUUUUGUAGAGAUGGGGUCUUGCUGUGUUGCCCAGGCUGGUCUCAAACUUGUGGCUUCAAAGGAUCAUCCUGCCUUGGCCUCGGAAAUUUCUGGGAUUACAGGUGUGAGCUACUGCACCUGGCAUUAUUAAGUUUUUUUGUUUGUUUGUUUGUUUUGAGACUGAGUUUUGCUCUUGUUGCCCUGGCUGGAGUGCAGUGGCAUGAUCUUGGCUCACUGCAGCCUCUGCCUCCCGGUUUCAAGUGAUUCUCGUGCUUCAGCCUCCCAAGUAGCUGGGAUUACAGGCAUGUGCCACCAUGUCUGGCUAAUUUUGUAUUUUUAGUACAGAUGGGGUUUCACUGUGUUGGACAACCUACCAAUUUGUUUCAUUAUGGAUCAUGCUUUUGGUGUUAUAUCUAAGAAAUUUUUGCCUACUCCAUGGUCAAAAAGGCUUUCUUCUAGAUGUUUCACAGUUUUAGAUUUUACAUUUAGGUCUAGAGUCCACUUGAAGUUAUAUUUUACGUAUGGUGCAAAGUAUAGUUUACUUUUCUGCUUAUGGAUAUGUUCCAGUACCAUUUGUUGAAAAAGACUAUCAUUUUUGUUUUGUUUUGUUUUUCGAGGCAGUGUCUUGCUUUGUCACUCAGGCUGGAGGCUGGAGUGCAGUAGCACAAACAUGGCUCACUGCAGCCUUGACCUCCCAGGCUCAAGUGAUCCACCUCAGCCUUCCAAGUAGCUGGGACUAUAGGAUGUACCAGCACACCCGGCUAAUUUUUGUAUUUUUGUGGAGACUGGGUUUCACCAUGUUACCCAGGCUGGUCUUGAAAUCCUGAGCUCAAGCAGUCCUCCUGCCUCAGCCUCCCAAAGUGCUGGGAUUACAGGUGUGAGCCACUGCGACUGGCCAAGACUAUCCUUUCUUGCACUGCAUUGCCUUUAUGCCUUUGUUGGAAAUCACUUGUCCAUUUAAAUAUGGGUCUAUUUCUGGACUCUCAAUUCUGUUCCAUUGAUCUGUUUGUCUGUCUUUAUACCAAUAUCACACUGUCUUGAUUACUGCACUUUAUAAUAAGUGUUAAAAUCAGAUGGUGUUUGUCUUUCAACUUUAUGCUUCUUCAAAAGUUGUUGUGAUUAUUCAUUUCUUUGCAAUUCCAUAUGAAUUUUAGAAUUAGUUUCUCAAUUUAUAUAUGUAUUUUAAACUAUUUUAUAUACAGAAAACACAAAGAAGGAAUUAAAAAUUAUAAUAAUCUUGCCACUUAGAGAUAAUUCCUGGUAAUAUUUUGGGUGUAUACAUCUAUAAUUGUUCUAUGCUUUGAAAUAUUUGCGGGGAGGAGCCAAGAUGGCCAAAUAGGAACAGCUCCUGUCUACAGCUCCCAGCGUGAGUGACGCAGAAGAUGGUGAUUUCUGCAUUUCCAUCUGAGGUACCGGGUUCAUCUCACUAGGGAGUGCCAGUGGGCGCAGGUCAGUGGGUGCGCGCACCGUGCGCGAGCCGAAGCAGGGCGAGGCAUUGCCUCACUUGGGAAGCACAAGGGGUCAGGGAGUUCCCUUUCCGAGUCAAAGAAAGGGGUGAUGGACGCACCUGGAAAAUCGGGUCACUCCCACCCGAAUACUGCACUUUUCCGACAGGCUUAAAAAAAGGCGCACCACGAGAUUAUAUCCCGCACCUGGCUCGGAGGGUCCUACACCCACGGAGUCUCGCUGAUUGCUAGCACAGCAGUCUGAGAUCAAACUGCAAGGUGGCAGCGAGGCUGGGGGAGGGGCGCCCGCCAUUGCCCGGGCUUGAUUAGGUAAACAAAGCAGCCUGGAAGCUCGAACUGGGUGGAGCCCACCACAGCUCAAGGAGGCCUGCCUGCCUCUGUAGGCUCCACCUCUGGCGGCAGGACACAGACAAACAAAAAGACAGCAGUAACCUCUGCAGACUUAAAUGUCCCUGUCUGACAGCUUUGAAGAGAGCAGUGGUUCUCCCAGUACGCAGCUGGAGAUCUGAGAAUGGGCAGACUGCCUCCUCAAGUGGGUCCCUGACCCCUGACCCCUGAGCAGCCUAACUGGGAGGCACCCCCCAGCAGGGGCAGACUGACACCUCAAACGGCAGGGUAUUCCAACAGACCUGCAGCUGAGGGUCCUGUCUGUUAGAAGGAAAACUAACAAACAGAAAGGACAUCCACACCAAAAACCCAUCUGUACAUCACCAUCAUCAAAGACCAAAAGUAGAUAAAACAACAAAGAUGGGGAAAAAACAGAACAGAAAAACUGGAAACUCUAAAAUGCAGAGCACCUCUCCUCCUCCAAAGGAACGCAGUUCCUCACCAGCAACGGAACAAAGCUGGAUGGAGAAUGACUUUGACGAGCUGAGAGAAGAAGGCUUCAGACGAUCAAAUUACUCUGAGCUACGGGAGGACAUUCAAACCAAAGGCAAAGAAGUUGAAAACUUUGAAAAAAAUUUAGAAGAAUGUAUAACUAGAAUAAUCAAUACAGAGAAGUGCUUAAAGGAGCUGAUGGAGCUGAAAACCAAGGCUCGAGAACUACGUGAAGAAUGCAGAAGCCUCAGGAGCCGAUGCGAUCAACUGGAAGAAAGGGUAUCAGUGAUGGAAGAUGAAAUGAAUUAAAUGAAGCAA
Gorilla gorilla gorilla (western lowland gorilla) is the source of this 4913-nucleotide long non-coding RNA. RefSeq lists it as uncharacterized. The record is from RefSeq and is a predicted model, not a curated record. The transcript is spliced from 5 exons. Lineage: Eukaryota; Metazoa; Chordata; Mammalia; Primates; Hominidae.